Podarcis lilfordi (Lilford's wall lizard) is the source of this 74-nucleotide non-coding RNA. The record is from the annotation of a GenBank genome assembly. NCBI's taxonomy places the organism in Eukaryota, Metazoa, Chordata, Lepidosauria, Squamata, Lacertidae.
GCCUGCAUAGCUCAGUUGCUUAGAGCAUGGUGCUGAUAACACCAAGGUUGUAGGUUCGAUCCCUGUAUGGGACU